CACGUAGGGGACGAGCGUUGUCCGGAUUCAUUGGGCGUAAAGCGCGCGUAGGCGGCUCGGAAAGUCGGUCGUGAAAUGCCCGGGCUCAACCCCGGGACUGCGUCCGAUACUCCCGAGCUGGAGGCAGGUAGGGGAGAUCGGAAUUCCUGGUGUAGCGGUGAAAUGCGCAGAUAUCAGGAGGAACACCGGUGGCGAAGGCGGAUCUCUGGGCCUUGCCUGACGCUGAGGCGCGAAAGCUAGGGGAGCGAACAGG
This 253-nucleotide ribosomal RNA is filed under the name uncultured bacterium. RNAcentral describes it as "partial 16S ribosomal RNA". It matches the Rfam family "Bacterial small subunit ribosomal RNA", at positions 524 to 776 of the family's 1533-position model. The record is from RNAcentral.